Molecule: long non-coding RNA, 298 nt
Filed under: Castor canadensis (American beaver)
Lineage: Eukaryota; Metazoa; Chordata; Mammalia; Rodentia; Castoridae
Description: lncRNA (ENSCCNG00000009982.1)
Source: RNAcentral
CCGUCUUCUUCCUCCAGCCAAUCGAGGUUGAGUAGAGGCAGGACGAGGAGGAGGGGCCCAAUUCAGAUAGAGGCGGAGCUAGACCCAGGUGUAGAUGGAAAAGUCGUCUGUAAUGGAGUGGAGGUGUCAUUCCAGGGCCAGGAGUGGCGGGGUUUCCCCAGUUACUCCAGAAGCUCAAAUACCUAUAUCUGUUCUAGUAGGAGAAAUAUGCAGCUUUUAGUGGCCAAGUGUCCAAGAUUUUCUGAGCCAGUCCUGGUUUGAGGCAGGACUUUGGGAGGACUCUCUUAAAGGAGUCACU